UAGAGUGUGGUGUAAUAUGGGAGCACGGAGAUUUUUGAUUUCUCAGGUGAAGGUUCAAGUCCUACGACUCUAG
RNAcentral lists this transfer RNA (73 nucleotides) under Priodontes maximus. RNAcentral describes it as "tRNA-Gln". It matches the Rfam family "tRNA". From Rfam's summary of the family: Transfer RNA (tRNA) molecules are approximately 80 nucleotides in length. Lineage: Eukaryota; Metazoa; Chordata; Mammalia; Cingulata; Chlamyphoridae. The record is from RNAcentral.